AGUAACCUUAGGAAAGAAUCGCCAGUGAGUACAGUAAGAAUAAAGAAUAAAGCAUAAAGAAAAGAAUAAAGAAAAUAGCUAAUGAAUGAAACUAGCUAAGAAAGAAUAAAACGGCUACAAGUAAAGAAUGGCUAAUGAUAUAAAGUAGAAUCAAGUAAUCUACUUACAUGAUUUACAGGUAUUGCAUAUUGCAUAGCAGCGAGGCAAGGUAUGGUUUUAUUUGUUGCAUAGUCAAAUAUCUAUCUAUCUAUUUGUUGAACUAACCUACUGUUGCCUCCUUUGGACCUGGUGGGUCGAGCUCUUCUCUUGGGUGGCCGUACCCACUGGGAACUAUAUUUAUAUAGUUCUCACCCCCGUGUUGUUUUGGGGGUACAGGUUGCACGCGAGCGGCGCGGCGGCGCGAGGACAGGGCGUAGCUUCGUAGAUAGCGCCCCACCACUGAGACUGAGAUAGCAACACCCUGAAGAGGUCAAGUUCAGAGUUCAAAUGGAAAGAAACAAAAUUGUAGUAAUUUGUAUAAGUUUCGUAUUAACUUAAAAGCAUAUGUGGUUAUGUAAAUGUAAAAUAUUGUAAAUGUAAAAGAAUCUCUGAGAUGAAUGCUUGUAAUAGCAUAGUUUGCACUUUAUGUUUUUGAUACAUAUGCAAUCUACAUACUUGCUACAGUUCCUGUUUGGAACCUCUUGUAUUGCAUUGUUUAGAUUGUUGACGCCUAGAACGUACAGGGGAGGCUCUGUCCGUUCGGCGGUCUGUCGACGAGCCCGAAUCUGACCAAAUAGGCGGAGCUCGGGGCGUGACAGCUAGUGUUAUAGAAUAGUUAAUAAUGUAAAGAAUGAUUAGCGAUAAUGAAUGACUAAGAGUAAAGAAUGGUUAAGAGUAAAGAGUAUGAUCAUUUAAUCUACUUGCAUUGUUGCAUAAAUUGCAUAUAGAAUGGCAUAAUCGUAUUUGUGAGGCAAAGCAUGAUAUUUGUUAGUUGCAUAAAUUAUGAUUUCAUAUCUAUCUAUUGAACUAACAUGUUGUUUGCCUCCCUUGGACCUGUUGGUCAAGCUUUUUCCUUAGGUGGCCGUACCCACCGGAAACUAUGGAGUUAGUUCUCACCCCACGUUGCUUUGGGGUGUUACAGGUUCGCACGUGAGCGGCGCGGCGGCGCGAGGCAAGGGCGUAGCUCCGUAGAUAACGCCUUACCCUGAAACCAGAGAUAGCAGUGCCCCGAGUCGGCAUAGCCUAGGGGUAUAGAAAUGAAAAGAACACAAAUGUAAUAAACUUGUAGUACAUUGUAAUAACUUAAUUGCAUUUGGGAGUUGAAUGUAAUGUAAAAUAAAAACUGAGAUAUGAAUGCUUGUAAUAGCUAGUAGUUUUAUAUUUUUGAUACUUUCUUAUGCAAUCUUUGAUUGAAAUGUGUUCCUGGUUGGAACAUCGUACAUUGUAUUGAUUGCGACGCCUUGGACGUACAGGGCAGACUCUGUCCGCGGUACAGAAAAAAUCCUGUCCGUUCGGCGGUCUAUUGGCGUGCCCAAUUCCGGCCAAAGAGGCGGGCUCGGGGCGUGACAGAUAAGAUUAUAUCAGAGCAUAAAAGAGUAUAAAAGGAGUAUGAAAGAAUAUAAGAGAAUAAUAGAAAUGAUUUAGCUUGACCUAGGAGACCUUAGGAUAGUAAACUAUAGGAGAUUAAGGCUCGUGAGAGACGAGAACUUGUGAUUUGUGGCGAUAGGUUGAGCGAUUGGGUCAAGUUAGUAAACCUCUAAAAACGAGAUUAGAGGUAGAUUCAAGGUAUGGUUUAUUCUCAAUUGAGAGUGUUCAUGUUGGCGCGCGACAACAUGAAACCGAGUGAUGAGAAUAGACGCCCUUGCGUAACUUUCGCCCGAUUUGAGUCGGUAUAAGUUGUCUCGUGUACGACCCAGAGGGUCGAGGGUUAACGAAGUUGUUGCGUUUAGGAAGCGAUGGCACCACAUAGGCGAUCUUCGUAUUGAUCGCCGCGGGAUGGGACAAAUGGUGUCCAUGAGCAAUUUGAGGCGAGCGGAGAAAUGGAACUUCGCAAGUAAUUAGCCACUCUCGUGGGAGUGGCAAGGUACGAGCCGAUUAGGUGCAACAACAGUAGGAGGCUGCCAUGCGCUUGAGGGAGCGAGCUCUGGCGGCCCUCGUGACCUUCAAGAGGUUAGUGAAUCCUCGUCGUGUUAAACCACUCUCGGUCAAGUUGACCAAAGUGCAUCGAGAGAAAUAGUUGGACAAAGUCCAAUUGACAUUCCAACAAUAUUGGAAGGGUCAAAAUUGUGUUCUAAAGGAGUUAGAAAGGUUUUAACAUUGGUUGGCAUAAAUAGAAGCUGAACAAGUGCCAAAACUGCAGUCUGGGCAUUUUGUAUUGGUACAACAUCAAUGUUGUACCGAUAUCAUAUAGCAGACCGAGAGAGAGAGCUCUUGGGUUUGCCUCUGCGAAGUGUUGUAACCGGUGACAAGCUGAAAGUGUACCAGUACCAAAUGUUAAACCCGAGCAGAUUGCCCUUGGGUUUGCCUCUGCGAGAUCGUGUAACCGGUGACAACCUACCUUGUACCGGUACGCGUUAAGAGAUGGGUUGUGCUCACCGAAGAUAUAAGCUCACUUCUAUGUCGAAGUGAAGUGAGAUUUAUCAUUGAUGCAUAUAAUGAUAGCUAGUUGUAAAAUAUAUGAAUGCAUGAGGUGAAUGCUAUGUUAACUACCAUUGGAUGCAUAAUGACAUAUUGUAGAAAUGCUAGAUGAAUGCAUGUGAUUGAUGCUAGUUGAAUGCAUAAGAUAAAUGGCAUAUAAAUGUUGACAUUGUGAGGAAAUGCUAGAGGUAACAUGCAUGUUAAUAUAUUGUGGAUUAUGUUAGAUAAUGACGCAUAUUGACAUAUGGUAGAAUAUGCUAGAUUCAGGUAGAUGUGAACUUGGGUCGAUAACUCUCGGUGGAUUAGAGAACUCGACAUUGGAAAAUAAGAACAUGAAAGCUAUAAUACUUGAUGUGGACAAGUAGGAUGUCAAGUAGAUCGAGUGGCAUUGAACCUAGUGUCGUGAACAUAGGUUGGAUAUGAGUGGCAUUGAACCUAGUGUUAGUAAAUAUAGGUUGAACAAGUGAACCUAGAAGUUGAGAUCUAGGUAGAGAUGACAUAAAACCUAGUGUGGUUGAACCUAGGUUGUGGACUAUAGUGGUAACACGACACUAUAGGGUUUGCAGAUGACCCUUGAGAUGUGGAACUGGAUUCCGGAAUCCCAGAACUUAUGGAACACCGAGAGGAGGUGUUGGGCAUGUGUGAUGAUUUCGCCGCCCGGGCUAAACCAUUGUUGGGCGUGUGCGACGAUUUCGCCACCAGAUAGUUAAGCCGGUUAUUGGAUUAUGCCGCCAGGUGACUUGAACCAGUGUUGGGCGUGUGCGACGAUUUCGCCGCCAGGUAGCUAAGUCAUGGAGUGCGGUAGGCUGUUAUAGCAGCCAGUGCACGUGUAAGGAAGUGAAUUCUCGAAAUACGAGAGUUGAACUUCGAUUAGAAUCGACUAAUUGUCGAUUGGGUGCCCUUAGGAAAAGCUGAGGACAUAAAAAAUGCAUAAAGUGUAUUGCGAGGGGUCUUCGAGAUCGAGCUGGGGCAAUUUUGCUAAGACUGCAGCUUUUGUGCUCUCGGGGACCGGUCCCUCAGGCAAGGACCGGUCCUCAGGGGUCCGAUCUCUCAGACAAGGACCGGUUCCCGUGAGCAUAGGAUUUGGGUUUGGAGUGUCCUACGAGAGAUUUGCUCUCGAGGACCGGUCCCUCUGGGAGAGACCAGUCCCUGUGUGCGUGUGGAGGCAGCAGCAGCCUGCUUCCUGUGGAGUAUUACUCUCAGGGACCGGUCCCUCGCUGAAGAGACCGGUCCCCGUAGCCCGAGUCUGCCCAGAAUGGGCCGUGCAUGAGUGGGGAAGUUGAGAGGCCUAUUUGCAAUGUUGCAUUAGAGGGGUUAUAUGAGAGGGGUUAUUCUCAUUUCUCUCCCUCUCUCCCUCACAACUAAACCCUAAACUCUCUCUCACUCUCUCUAGAAUAGCUCUCUCUCUCUCUCAUCAAAGAGGGAGCAAGGAGGAGGGAAGGAAGAAGAAGAAGACAAGGAGAAAGAGAGCCAUCUUUAUCUUCUUCUUCUUGUGCUUGGAGCAAGCUUGGAUAGGUAAGCUUCUUGAAGCAACAAUGGUGAUUUCUUAGAGUUUAGUUUGUGUACUCUAAGAAUGGUUUAGAUGGAACCCUAGCAUGCUAUCUAGAUGAUUGAUACCUAAUUCAUAAAAGGAUUUGAUGGAUUUGGCGUUAGUAGCAUCUAGGGCAUCCAAAAGGGGGUUUUUGUAAAUAGUUAAGUUUGAUCUCAAUUGACCCUUUGUUAACCUAAUUGCUAGGUGUACGAACGCGUUGGCGAGGUCAGUUCAGCGAUUCGUCGAGCCUACGCGAAGAUAUUGAAGAAAUGGAGGAUUUAGCUUCGUUUCCACCUGGAGGACCGAGGCGGCGUCCAUAAAUUGUGAAAACGGAUUCCGGGCGUCGUGGCAACUAACUGAAGACCUAUAAUUCCCGGAACUGCAAGGCGACGCACGGUUGUUGAGCGUUGGCAAGAUCAGGCCAAACCGGGUGCCGAGUGCCGCGGGAGGCCGAUUGCAAGUGUCGACAAGCAAUCGGAGAGCAAACUAAGGUGGGUUGUGCUUACCGAAACGAAUAGGUCGCC
This 4671-nucleotide long non-coding RNA is filed under the name Ananas comosus (pineapple). RNAcentral's name for it is "long non-coding RNA (ACOM_LNC042627)". Lineage: Eukaryota; Viridiplantae; Streptophyta; Magnoliopsida; Poales; Bromeliaceae. The record is from RNAcentral.